UGGGGAAUAUUGCACAAUGGGCGAAAGCCUGAUGCAGCAACGCCGCGUGAAGGAAGAAGGCUUUCGGGUCGUAAACUUCUGUCCUAGGGGAAGAUAAUGACGCAACCCUUGGAGGAAGCCCCGGCUAACUACGUGCCAGCAGCCGCGGUAAUACGUAGGGGGCAAGCGUUAUCCGGAAUUAUUGGGCGUAAAGAGUGCGUAGGUGGUAACUUAAGCGCGGGGUUUAAGGCAAUGGCUUAACCAUUGUUCGCCCCGCGAACUGGGAUACUUGAGUGCAGGAGAGGAAAGCGGAAUUCCUAGUGUAGCGGUGAAAUGCGUAGAUAUUAGGAGGAACACCAGUGGCGAAGGCGGCUUUCUGGACUGAAACUGACACUGAGGCACGAAAGUGUGGGGAGCAAACA
RNAcentral lists this ribosomal RNA (401 nucleotides) under uncultured bacterium. RNAcentral's name for it is "bacterial SSU rRNA". It matches the Rfam family "Bacterial small subunit ribosomal RNA", at positions 355 to 774 of the family's 1533-position model. RNAcentral also lists the same sequence under 1 other name. The record is from RNAcentral.